Molecule: non-coding RNA, 674 nt
Filed under: Pongo abelii (Sumatran orangutan)
Lineage: Eukaryota; Metazoa; Chordata; Mammalia; Primates; Hominidae
Source: RNAcentral
AGAGCUGAGAAUUGUUGCCUUCAGGGAAAUAUAAUCAAUGUCAAGCAAACAACCACCCCAAAAUGGAAUGUCAGCCAUUAACCUCACAGUAGGUGACGAAAAGAUAUUACUUUUUCUCCCCUAUACUACCCAAGCCAGCCACCUCAAGAAAGAACAGUUCAUGUGCAGGUGACCAUGUAGUUCAAGUCAUCAUUAAAUCCAAAGCUGAGCAGCCAUGAUGCUAUUGGUGGAAUUGCCCUUGACCAAGAGAAAUCCAUCUUGAUUGUCUCAAUAAUUGGCUCAAGGGCCAUUGAUGAUGAGGUCCUAAAUUUAAUUCCUAAUAAAACCCCUGAAGUUUUAGAGGCAAAAUGAGAAAGCAUAGCUCACAAAUACCUUGACCAAUGACUUGCAGAACCAACCCCUCCUCUUCUUCCUCCCCCUCAGCCUAUUCAAUGUGAAAAAGAUGAGGGCGAAGACCUUUAUGAUGAUCCAAGUAAUGAACACACUGGAGAAAGUCAAACAGUCAAAACAAUGUCCCAGACUCCGUGAAGUUCCUGGGUAGAGAAGUAGACAGACGUACACCAUACCUAAUAAUUGGAGGUCCAAGAGAAUGAGAGAAUGGCAGAAAGAACUUUAGAGCAUGGGUAUGAUGGCUAGAGCUUGAGCAGCCAUUGUGGACAUCAGAUGAACCUGAA